AAUUACAUACUUUAUAUAAAAGAUUUAGCUUGCACCUAACAAUAGAGCAAUCACUCUGUAAUUA
Molecule: transfer RNA, 64 nt
Filed under: Lens contradens
Lineage: Eukaryota; Metazoa; Mollusca; Bivalvia; Unionida; Unionidae
Description: tRNA-Ala
Source: RNAcentral